UGCGAAUAUUCUGUGGAUUUGGCAACACGGUUCUGUUGUUGUUAUUGCAUGUGACAACUAGAGGUGAGUUAGUGGUGAACUGAAACAUUUUAAUUUCACGUUUGUAAUCGGCGUUUGUGUGUACAAGUUUGUGAAUUUUAAGUUACUUAUUGUUAAUUUUAAUCAUGGUAAAUACUCGAAAAUCAUGUAUAGUGUGUAAAACAUCCGGAAAUGAAAACAUAACCUAUCAUAGGUUUCCUUCAAAUAGAGAAUUUAGCAAAAUAUGGUGCCACGCGUUAAGAUUGCAAAUGAACUAUUUGCCGAAAUAUGCAUAUGUUUGUUCCAAACAUUUCAGCACCGAAAACUUAAUAAGAGGCAGUAAGAGAACCACACUU
Harmonia axyridis is the source of this 374-nucleotide long non-coding RNA. RefSeq lists it as uncharacterized. Lineage: Eukaryota; Metazoa; Arthropoda; Insecta; Coleoptera; Coccinellidae. The record is from RefSeq and is a predicted model, not a curated record. The transcript is spliced from 3 exons.